RNAcentral lists this unclassified non-coding RNA (237 nucleotides) under Tricellula proliferata. Its description in RNAcentral is "Articulospora proliferata partial contains 5.8S ribosomal RNA, internal transcribed spacer 2, and large subunit ribosomal RNA". The record is from RNAcentral. Lineage: Eukaryota; Fungi; Ascomycota; Leotiomycetes; Helotiales; Calloriaceae.
CGCACAUUGCGCCCCUUGGUAUUCCGGGGGGCAUACCUAUUCGAGCGUCGUUAACACCCUUCAAGCUCCGCUUGGUGAUGGGGGCCGCUUCUCGAGGCGCCCCCGAAAGACAUCGGCGGUCCGGCGCGGAUCCGGACGUAGUAAUUGUUUUCCCGUUCAGGGGAAGCGUUUGCGGGCCGCUUAAACCAUCGUUCAAGAAUUGACCUCGGAUUAGGUAGGGAUACCCGCUGAACUUAA